UACGGAGGGUGCGAGCGUUAUCCGGAUUCACUGGGUUUAAAGGGUGCGUAGGUGGGCAGGUAAGCCAGUGGUGAAAUCUCCGGGCUUAACCCGGAAACUGCCAUUGAUACUAUCAGUCUUGAAUACCGUGGAGGUAAGCGGAAUAUGUCAUGUAGCGGUGAAAUGCUUAGAUAUGACAUAGAACACCAAUUGCGAAGGCAGCUUACUACCCGAAUAUUGACACUGAGGCACGAAAGCGUGGGGAUCAAACAGG
RNAcentral lists this ribosomal RNA (253 nucleotides) under uncultured bacterium. Its description in RNAcentral is "partial 16S ribosomal RNA". It matches the Rfam family "Bacterial small subunit ribosomal RNA", at positions 524 to 776 of the family's 1533-position model. The record is from RNAcentral.